UACGUAGGAUCCAAGCGUUAUCCGGAUUUACUGGGCGUAAAGAGUUGCGUAGGUGGCAGAGUAAGUUAGUAGUGAAAUCGUGUGGCUCAACCAUGCUCACAUUACUAAAACUGCUCAGCUUGAGGAUGAGAGAGGUUAUUGGAAUUCCUUGUGUAGGAGUGAAAUCCGUAGAUAUAAGGAGGAACACCGAUGGCGUAGGCAGAUAACUGGCUCAUUCCUGACACUAAGGCACGAAAGCGUGGGUAGCAAACGGG
RNAcentral lists this unclassified non-coding RNA (254 nucleotides) under Patescibacteria group bacterium. RNAcentral describes it as "contains 16S-23S intergenic spacer region". It matches the Rfam family "Bacterial small subunit ribosomal RNA", at positions 524 to 776 of the family's 1533-position model. The record is from RNAcentral.